GACGAACGCUGGCGGCGUGCCUAACACAUGCAAGUCGAACGGAGUUAUUUGAAAUGAUUCUUUCGGGAUGAUUUUCUUUUAACUUAGUGGCGGACGGGUGAGUAACGCGUGAGUAACCUGCCUCCGAGUGGGGAAUAACAGUCUGAAAAGACUGCUAAUACCGCAUAACAUAAUGAAGUCGCAUGGCUUUGUUAUCAAAGAUUUAUCGCUUGGAGAUGGACUCGCGUCCGAUUAGUUAGUUGGUGAGGUAACGGCUCACCAAGACCACGAUCGGUAGCCGGACUGAGAGGUUGAACGGCCACAUUGGGACUGAGACACGGCCCAG
RNAcentral lists this ribosomal RNA (325 nucleotides) under uncultured bacterium. RNAcentral's name for it is "bacterial SSU rRNA". It matches the Rfam family "Bacterial small subunit ribosomal RNA", at positions 28 to 334 of the family's 1533-position model. The record is from RNAcentral.